This 510-nucleotide ribosomal RNA is filed under the name uncultured bacterium. Its description in RNAcentral is "partial 16S ribosomal RNA". It matches the Rfam family "Bacterial small subunit ribosomal RNA", at positions 28 to 507 of the family's 1533-position model. The record is from RNAcentral.
GACGAACGCUGGCGGCGUGCUUAACACAUGCAAGUCGAACGAAGAGCGAUGGAAGCUUGCUUCUAUCAAUCUUAGUGGCGAACGGGUGAGUAACGCGUAAUCAACCUGCCCUUCAGAGGGGGACAACAGUUGGAAACGACUGCUAAUACCGCAUACGAUCUAAUCUCGGCAUCGAGGAUAGAUGAAAGGUGGCCUCUACAUGUAAGCUAUCACUGAAGGAGGGGAUUGCGUCUGAUUAGCUAGUUGGAGGGGUAACGGCCCACCAAGGCGAUGAUCAGUAGCCGGUCUGAGAGGAUGAACGGCCACAUUGGUACUGAGACACGGCCCAGACUCCUACGGGAGGCAGCAGUGGGGAAUCUUCCGCAAUGGACGAAAGUCUGACGGAGCAACGCCGCGUGAGUGAUGACGGCCUUCGGGUUGUAAAGCUCUGUUAAUCGGGACGAAAGGCCUUCUUGCGAAUAGUGAGAAGGAUUGACGGUACCGGAAUAGAAAGCCACGGCUAACUACGUG